GACGAACGCUGGCGGCGUGCUUAACACAUGCAAGUCGAGCGGUAAGGCCCUUUCGGGGGUACACGAGCGGCGAACGGGUGAGUAACACGUGGGUGACCUGCCCUCAGCUCUGGGAUAAGCCUGGGAAACUGGGUCUAAUACCGGAUAUGACUCCAUGACGCAUGUUGUGGGGUGGAAAGCCUUGUGCGGCUGAGGAUGGGCCCGCGGCCUAUCAGCUUGUUGGUGGGGUGAUGGCCUACCAAGGCGACGACGGGUAGCCGGCCUGAGAGGGCGACCGGCCACACUGGGACUGAGACACGGCCCAGACUCCUACGGGAGGCAGCAGUGGGGAAUCUUGCGCAAUGGGCGAAAGCCUGACGCAGCGACGCCGCGUGAGGGAUGAC
Molecule: ribosomal RNA, 383 nt
Filed under: uncultured bacterium
Lineage: Bacteria
Description: bacterial SSU rRNA
Rfam family: Bacterial small subunit ribosomal RNA
Source: RNAcentral